RNAcentral lists this ribosomal RNA (494 nucleotides) under Streptococcus anginosus. RNAcentral's name for it is "bacterial SSU rRNA". It matches the Rfam family "Bacterial small subunit ribosomal RNA", at positions 28 to 497 of the family's 1533-position model. The record is from RNAcentral. Lineage: Bacteria; Bacillati; Bacillota; Bacilli; Lactobacillales; Streptococcaceae.
GACGAACGCUGGCGGCGUGCCUAAUACAUGCAAGUAGGACGCACAGUUUAUACCGUAGCUUGCUACACCAUAGACUGUGAGUUGCGAACGGGUGAGUAACGCGUAGGUAACCUACCUAUUAGGGGGGGAUAACUAUUGGAAACGAUAGCUAAUACCGCAUAACAGUAUGUAACACAUGUUAGAUGCUUGAAAGAUGCAAUUGCAUCGCUAGUAGAUGGACCUGCGUUGUAUUAGCUAGUAGGUAGGGUAAAGGCCUACCUAGGCAACGAUACAUAGCCGACCUGAGAGGGUGAUCGGCCACACUGGGACUGAGACACGGCCCAGACUCCUACGGGAGGCAGCAGUAGGGAAUCUUCGGCAAUGGGGGAAACCCUGACCGAGCAACGCCGCGUGAGUGAAGAAGGUUUUCGGAUCGUAAAGCUCUGUUGUUAAGGAAGAACGAGUGUGAGAAUGGAAAGUUCAUGCUGUGACGGUACUUAACCAGAAAGGACGGC